Molecule: long non-coding RNA, 291 nt
Organism: Fundulus heteroclitus (mummichog)
Lineage: Eukaryota; Metazoa; Chordata; Actinopteri; Cyprinodontiformes; Fundulidae
Exons: 4
Source: RefSeq, a predicted model, not a curated record
GCUUUGCUCUUAACAGUUGGGGCGUUGACGCUGGAGAGCAACAGAGCGGAGUAUGAUUACUUCAAGUACCACCCGAUGGAUGAGAUCAGCAGCUGGAUGGUUCAGAUGGAGAAGGACCACCCCGACGUGGUGACCGUGGUGGACUACGGGAGGACGUACGAGAAAAGGACGAUCAGCUUGCUGAAGAUCGGCCUGAAGACCGAAGCCAAAAAGAAGGCCGUCUGGAUGGACUGUGGGAUUCAUGCUAGAGAAUGGAUCGCUCCCGCCUUCUGUCAGUACUUUGUCAGACAG